GGGGGUCUAACUCAAAUGGUAGAGUGUUCGCUUUGCAUGCGAAAAGUACUGGGAUCGAUACCCAGGUCCUCCA
Molecule: transfer RNA, 73 nt
Filed under: Coemansia sp. RSA 1646
Lineage: Eukaryota; Fungi; Kickxellomycota; Kickxellomycetes; Kickxellales; Kickxellaceae
Also listed under: 4 other names
Description: tRNA-Ala
Rfam family: tRNA
About the family: Transfer RNA (tRNA) molecules are approximately 80 nucleotides in length. Their secondary structure includes four short double-helical elements and three loops (D, anti-codon, and T loops). Further hydrogen bonds mediate the characteristic L-shaped molecular structure. tRNAs have two regions of fundamental functional importance: the anti-codon, which is responsible for specific mRNA codon recognition, and the 3' end, to which the tRNAs corresponding amino acid is attached (by aminoacyl-tRNA synthetases). tRNAs cope with the degeneracy of the genetic code in two manners: having more than one tRNA (with a specific anti-codon) for a particular amino acid; and 'wobble' base-pairing, i.e. permitting non-standard base-pairing at the 3rd anti-codon position.
Source: RNAcentral